GACUGCAUGACUGGCGGAAAGUAGGAUUACCUACGGGGAGUGCAGUAUAUCAUGUGCCGACCGCCUGGGCAGCCU
RNAcentral lists this non-coding RNA (75 nucleotides) under uncultured Blautia sp. RNAcentral describes it as "ZMP/ZTP riboswitch". It matches the Rfam family "ZMP/ZTP riboswitch aptamer (pfl RNA motif)". From Rfam's summary of the family: Previously known as pfl RNA. ZMP is also known as AICAR. Lineage: Bacteria; Bacillati; Bacillota; Clostridia; Lachnospirales; Lachnospiraceae. The record is from RNAcentral.